UUAAGCCAUGCGAGUCGAACGAGUUUAGGCUCGUGGCGUACGGCUCAGUAACACGUGGAUAACCUACCCUUAGGACCGGGAUAACCCUGGGAAACUGGGGAUAAUACUGGAUAGGCAAUUUUUCCUGUAAUGGUUUUUUGUUUAAAUGUUUUUUCGCCUAAGGAUGGGUCUGCGGCCGAUUAGGUAGUUGGUUAGGUAAUGGCUUACCAAGCCGUUGAUCGGUACGGGUUGUGAGAGCAAGAGCCCGGAGAUGGAACCUGAGACAAGGUUCCAGGCCCUACGGGGUGCAGCAGGCGCGAAACCUCCGCAAUGUGAGAAAUCGCGACGGGGGGAUCCCAAGUGCCAUUCUUAACGGGAUGGCUUUUCUUAAGUGUAAAAAGCUUUUGGAAUAAGGGCUGGGCAAGACCGGUGCCAGCCGCCGCGGUAACACCGGCAGCUCUAGUGGUAGCCAUUUUUAUUGGGCCUAAAGCGUCCGUAGCCGGUUUAAUAAGUCUCUGGUGAAAUCCUGUAGCUUAACUGUGGGAAUUGCUGGAGAUACUAUUAGACUUGAGACCGGGAGAGGUUAGAGGUACUCCCAGGGUAGAGGUGAAAUUCUGUAAUCCUGGGAGGACCGCCUGUUGCGAAGGCGUCUAACUGGAACGGUUCUGACGGUGAGGGACGAAAGUUAGGGGCGCGAACCGGAUUAGAUACCCGGGUAGUCCUAACUGUAAACGAUGCGGACUUGGUGUUGGGGUGGCUUUGAGCUGCUCCAGUGCCGAAGGGAAGCUGUUAAGUCCGCCGCCUGGGAAGUACGGUCGCAAGACUGAAACUUAAAGGAAUUGGCGGGGGAGCACCACAACGCGUGGAGCCUGCGGUUUAAUUGGAUUCAACGCCGGACAUCUCACCAGAGGCGACAGCUGUAUGAUAGCCAGGUUGAUGACUUUGCUUGACUAGCUGAGAGGAGGUGCAUGGCCA
This 954-nucleotide ribosomal RNA is filed under the name uncultured Methanobrevibacter sp. RNAcentral describes it as "bacterial SSU rRNA". It matches the Rfam family "Archaeal small subunit ribosomal RNA", at positions 44 to 1000 of the family's 1478-position model. The record is from RNAcentral. Lineage: Archaea; Methanobacteriati; Methanobacteriota; Methanobacteria; Methanobacteriales; Methanobacteriaceae.